Molecule: ribosomal RNA, 222 nt
Filed under: uncultured bacterium
Lineage: Bacteria
Description: partial 16S ribosomal RNA
Rfam family: Bacterial small subunit ribosomal RNA
Source: RNAcentral
UGAGCAAUCUGCCCUUCUCAUCGGAAUAACCAUUGGAAACGAUGGCUAAUACCGAAUAUGACUUCGGAUCGCAUGAUCUGAAGUGGAAAGCUCCGGCGGUGAAGGAUGAGCUCGCGGCCUAUCAGCUUGUUGGUGAGGUAAUAGCUCACCAAGGCGACGACGGGUAGCCGGCCUGAGGAGGGUGACCGGCCACACUGGGACUGAGACACGGCCCAGACUCCG